AGAGUUGAUCCUGCUCAGACGACGCUGGCGGCGUGCUAUACAUGCAAGUAGAACGCUGAAAUAAGAGCUGCUCUUAUGAUGAGUUGCGAACGGGUGAGUAACACGUGGGGAACUACCUUCUAGCGGGGGGAUACACAUAGAAAUGUGUGCUAAUACCGCAUAAUAGUAUUUGAUGCAUAUCAGAUACUUGAAAGGCGCAAUUGCGUCACUAGAAGAUGGCCCCGCGGUGCAUUAGCUAGUUGGUGAGGUAACGGCUCACCAAGGCAAUGAUGCAUAGCCGACCUGAGAGGGUGAUCGGCCACACUGGGACUGAGACACGGCCCAGACUCCUACGGGAGGCAGCAGUAGGGAAUCUUCGGCAAUGGACGCAAGUCUGACCGAGCAACGCCGCGUGAGUGAAGAAGGUUUUCGGAUCGUAAAACUCUGUUGUAAGAGAAGAACGUUGAUGAGAGUGGAAAGUUCAUCAAGUGACGGUAUCUUACCAGAAAGCCACGGCUAACUACGUGCCAGCAGCCGCGGUAAUACGUAGGUGGCAAGCGUUGUCCGGAUUUAUUGGGCGUAAAGCGAGCGCAGGCGGUUGAUUAAGUCUGAUGUGAAAGCCCCCGGCUCAACCGGGGAGGGUCAUUGGAAACUGGUCAACUUGAGUGCAGAAGAGGAGAGUGGAAUUCCAUGUGUAGCGGUGAAAUGCGUAGAUAUAUGGAGGAACACCAGUGGCGAAGGCGGCUCUCUGGUCUGUAACUGACGUUGAGGCUCGAAAGUGUGGGUAGCAAACAGGAUUAGAUACCCUGGUAGUCCACACCGUAAACGAUGAACACUAGGUGUUAGGAGGUUUCCGCCUCUUAGUGCCGAAGCUAACGCAUUAAGUGUUCCGCCUGGGGAGUACGACCGCAAGGUUGAAACUCAAAGGAAUUGACGG
Molecule: ribosomal RNA, 916 nt
Filed under: uncultured bacterium
Lineage: Bacteria
Description: bacterial SSU rRNA
Rfam family: Bacterial small subunit ribosomal RNA
Source: RNAcentral